GGGAAUGUGGCUUAGUGGUAGAGUGAUUGCCUAGUAUGCAGGAAGUCCUUGGUUCAAAUCCUCAGUACCA
This is a non-coding RNA of Dipodomys ordii (Ord's kangaroo rat), 70 nucleotides long. The record is from Rfam. Lineage: Eukaryota; Metazoa; Chordata; Mammalia; Rodentia; Heteromyidae.